RNAcentral lists this ribosomal RNA (253 nucleotides) under uncultured bacterium. RNAcentral's name for it is "partial 16S ribosomal RNA". It matches the Rfam family "Bacterial small subunit ribosomal RNA", at positions 524 to 776 of the family's 1533-position model. The record is from RNAcentral.
UACGGAGGGUGCAAGCGUUAUCCGGAUUCACUGGGCUUAAAGGGCGCGUAGGUGGGCUAGCAAGUCCGUGGUGAAAUCUCCAAGCUUAACUUGGAAACUGCCGUGGAUACUAUUAGUCUUGAAUCUCGUGGAGGUAAGCGGAAUAUGUCAUGUAGCGGUGAAAUGCUUAGAUAUGACAUAGAACACCGAUAGCGAAGGCAGCUUGCUGCGCGAGUAUUGACGCUGAGGCACGAAAGCGUGGGGAGCAAACAGG